AAAAACAUGACACAAGAAGAAGAAGUUGUACUUUUAGAUUAUUGGGCUAGUCCUUUUGGAACAAUGGCAAGAAUUGCCCUAGUUGAAAAGGGAGUCAAUUUCAUCCACAAGUUUGAGGAUUUGUCUAAUAAAAGUCCUUUGCUUUUGGAAAUGAACCCGGUUCAUCACAAAAUACCGGUUCUUGUUCACAAGGGUAAAUCUAUUUGUGAAUCAAAUAUCAUUAUUCAAUAUAUUGAUGAGAUUUGGAAAAAUAAUUCUCCCUUAUUGCCCUAUGAACCUUAUCAAAGAGCUA
This 292-nucleotide unclassified non-coding RNA is filed under the name Hevea brasiliensis (rubber tree). Lineage: Eukaryota; Viridiplantae; Streptophyta; Magnoliopsida; Malpighiales; Euphorbiaceae. The record is from RNAcentral.